Molecule: non-coding RNA, 170 nt
Organism: Roseburia sp. 831b
Lineage: Bacteria; Bacillati; Bacillota; Clostridia; Lachnospirales; Lachnospiraceae
Source: Rfam
AUUAACGUGAGGGGAAUCUGAAGGAAGGUGGAGGCAAAUCUCUGGUCUGACGAACAGAAAUCACAUGAGGCUAUAGUUAAGGAUAAGGCUGCAUAACAAGUCAAAGUCCAAUAACUACUCGGAAUUAACUAAAGUAAAUGUGGCAGAUAUAUGGAGAGAAAGUGACGUGU